CCUACGGGAGGCAGCAGUGAGGAAUAUUGGUCAAUGGCCGGAAGGCUGAACCAGCCAAGUCGCGUGAGGGACGACUGCCCUAUGGGUUGUAAACCUCUUGUAUAAGGGAAGAAGAAAUGCUACGUGUAGCAUGAUGCCUGUACCUUAUGAAUAAGCAUCGGCUAACGCCGUGCCAGCAGCCGCGGUAAUACGGAGGAUUCGAGCGUUAUCCGGAUUUAUUGGGUUUCAAGGGUGCGUAGGCGGUUUUUUAAGUUAGUGGUUAAACGUCGGGGCUGCACCUUGAUUUGCCAUUCAUACUGUCAGACUCGCGUUCAGCCGAGUUAGGCGGACUCAGUUCCGUAGCGGU
This 346-nucleotide ribosomal RNA is filed under the name uncultured bacterium. Its description in RNAcentral is "partial 16S ribosomal RNA". It matches the Rfam family "Bacterial small subunit ribosomal RNA", at positions 338 to 682 of the family's 1533-position model. The record is from RNAcentral.